This 474-nucleotide ribosomal RNA is filed under the name uncultured Cryobacterium sp. Its description in RNAcentral is "bacterial SSU rRNA". It matches the Rfam family "Bacterial small subunit ribosomal RNA", at positions 91 to 578 of the family's 1533-position model. The record is from RNAcentral. Lineage: Bacteria; Bacillati; Actinomycetota; Actinomycetes; Micrococcales; Microbacteriaceae.
AUCAGUGGCGAACGGGUGAGUAACACGUGAGCAAUCUGCCCUUGACUCUGGGAUAAGCGUUGGAAACGACGUCUAAUACCGGAUACGACCUUGGAAGGCAUCUUCUGGGGUGGAAAGAAUUUUGGUCAAGGAUGAGCUCGCGGCCUAUCAGCUAGUUGGUGAGGUAAUGGCUCACCAAGGCGACGACGGGUAGCCGGCCUGAGAGGGUGACCGGCCACACUGGGACUGAGACACGGCCCAGACUCCUACGGGAGGCAGCAGUGGGGAAUAUUGCACAAUGGGCGAAAGCCUGAUGCAGCAACGCCGCGUGAGGGACGACGGCCUUCGGGUUGUAAACCUCUUUUAGUAGGGAAGAAGCGUAAAAGUGACGGUACCUGCAGAAAAAGCACCGGCUAACUACGUGCCAGCAGCCGCGGUAAUACGUAGGGUGCAAGCGUUGUCCGGAAUUAUUGGACGUAAAGAGCUCGUAGGCGG